Molecule: ribosomal RNA, 434 nt
Filed under: uncultured Clostridium sp.
Lineage: Bacteria; Bacillati; Bacillota; Clostridia; Eubacteriales; Clostridiaceae
Also listed under: 1 other name
Description: partial 16S ribosomal RNA
Rfam family: Bacterial small subunit ribosomal RNA
Source: RNAcentral
ACGGGAGGCAGCAGUGGGGGAUAUUGCACAAUGGGGGAAACCCUGAUGCAGCAACGCCGCGUGAGGGAAGAAGGUCUUCGGAUUGUAAACCUAAGUAGUCAGGGACGAUAAUGACGGUACCUGAAGAGUAAGCUCCGGCUAACUACGUGCCAGCAGCCGCGGUAAUACGUAGGGAGCGAGCGUUGUCCGGAUUUACUGGGUGUAAAGGGUGCGUAGGCGGGCUUGCAAGUCAGACGUGAAAUGCCGGGGCUUAACUCCGGAGCUGCGUUUGAAACUGUAGGUCUUGAGUGAAGUAGAGGUAGGCGGAAUUCCUAGUGUAGCGGUGAAAUGCGUAGAUAUUAGGAGGAACACCAGUGGCGAAGGCGGCCUACUGGGCUUUAACUGACGCUGAGGCACGAAAGCAUGGGGAGCAAACAGGAUUAGAUACCCUGGUA